This 1113-nucleotide long non-coding RNA is filed under the name Salvator merianae (Argentine black and white tegu). Its description in RNAcentral is "lncRNA (ENSSMRG00000002560.1)". Lineage: Eukaryota; Metazoa; Chordata; Lepidosauria; Squamata; Teiidae. The record is from RNAcentral.
CCCAGUGUUGCGNUGGCUGUGAGGCAGACCCGUGUGAUAGCUCAUAUGCUUGUUAGUCUAAAGACAAAUAAUCCGUCUCAAGAAGAGAAGGGAAGAGACUGUGUUGAGUAAUUGAAGUGGCAUUGUUUAAAGUAAGGAAUCCGGUGUUAGAAGGGAGAAAGAGCCUAUCUGUUUGUGGAAAUGGCUGCCCAUACUGCUCCAGUUUUACAGCAGCAAUUUGAAAAGCUGAAUGACCGCAAUUACCUCAUCUGGUCAGAACGUAUGAAAGCUGUUUUAAUUACAGAGGAUCUUUAUGAUGCCUGUCUUGCUUUGCCAGCUGUUGAUAGUGCUGAUGAAAGGCAAAGAGACAGAAAAGCUCGUGCGACGCUUAUUCUUGGUUUAGAAAGCUCGCAAUUGAUGGCUGUAAGGCAUAUAGAAAAUGCUAAAGAAGUUUGGGACACUCUACGGCAAAUUUAUCAGCGUAUUUCUGCUGGAAGCAAGAUGCUGUUAACCAGAAAGUUAUAUAACCUAAAAUUGAAACCAGAUGGCUGUUUAAAUAGCUAUAUAAAUGAGAUGAGAAUGAUUUUUGCUGAUUUAGCUGACAGAGGUCUGCAGUAUGAAGAGGCUCACUGUGCUUACAUACUAUUGUCUUCAUUACCUAAAACUUAUGAUGCAGUUGUAGACUCUUUUCAAGGAAUUGAUGAAGACAGAUUAAAUUUUUCCUUAGUAGUCACACGUUUGCAGGAGUGGACUGAGCAAAGGAAACUAACACGACGAGAAGAAGUUACGUCAGACAAGGCAAUAAACAUUAAAUCUGAACCUUUGAGUGCCUUGGCAGUGAAAAAGUGCCACUUCUGUCACAGGAAAGGACAUCUUAUUAAAGACAGUUGGAAACGUAAACAACAAGCGUCCAGUUCUCGUCAGCAAGAGAGCAGUAAGCAGUAUGCUGACAGUUAUACUGCUUCUGAUAAGCGACACAACAGUUCGACUGCUUUGCUAAUGGCAGUCAGUAAGAAGAAUUCGGCCAAUCCCGUGUGGUACGUGGACAGCGGAAGCUGUGAACAUUUUUCAUCCAGAAGGGACAAUUUAACUGACAUUCACCAGAUUGAGGCGAGAGAUGUAAAGCUAGCUGAU